GUAACACUUAAACCUGAUUACAUUUUGGGUGAAGAUUAGCAUGUGAGUUGUAGCAUUUCUAUGUAGCUCAGACAAUAGCAAGAUUAUAGGGGUAGUGGAGGGUCCAAAUGUGAAACUAAUCAUCUAACUCUAUGUAUUGUCCGCCUGUUAAAUACGCUUAACACUACCUUUAUUCACAGUAGUUAAUGAAGUGUGUAAACCAAAAUAAUCAAUAGUAAUAAUUAAAAUAAUUAACUAUCUUUAGUGAUUCAUGUGGUAUUAUGGUAACCAUUUUUAAUGUUACUGUACAUGUGAUAUGCAAUGUUGGCAUCUAUUUCUAAGUCUUACUCCUUUAUGUGCCUCUAAGAUAGUAACAGGUAAAGAGUGAACUCUUCUUCCAUUUAGUGGACCAAUUGCAUAUCUGGUAUCUAACUUGAUACUAACCAAGAAGUCACUAUUUGCCAGACCCCACAACAUACAGGACCAACAAUUAAUCUGAAACCCAUUCAUGAAAAGGGGGUUCAGUGAGCCCUCUCGGUUUUAUUAAGCCUCAUUGCAAAGACAGUAGGAUGAUGAAAAGAGUGAAGGGACCUCACCAAGUCUUUCCUGUCAUUAUAAGCCAUGCAAACCAAUGCAUAUAAUAGCUUUUGCAGAACUAGCUACUUCAAUCAUAAGGCAUAUUUCUCACUUGGAGCAUAAUGUCUCCAUUAGCUAAAAUCAGACUUUGCUUUCAGCAUCUUCUGAACAUACUGAAAUGUCCAUGAUGGAAUAUAAAGCUCUGUAAAGUUUCAACCCACAGUUGCCUUGCUUUGAGUUUUGUCUCUAGGAUGGGGGUAAACAAUCUUCAAUCAGUUCACUUGAAGAAACUAAGAACACUCCACUCUUGGGGGCUAUAGCAUUAUUUAGAGUACUUCUGGCUUUCAGGAAUGGCUUGUCAAUAGAGUUUGUAAAUAGGGCUAAGUGCAAUAUCCAUUUUUGUUUCAGUGUGUUCUUAUACACUGAUCAGCCACAACAUUAAAACCACCUGCCUAAUAUUGUUCAGGUCCCCCAUGUGCUACCAAAAUGGCAAUGAUGCAUUGAGAUAUAUGUGGUGACAUUCUGUCAUCAAUCUAAUAUGGUGAUCAGGGAUCAUGUGACCAAGCUCUUACAGUGGGAUAAGCGUUACCUUUUGAAAUGGUAACUGGGUAAUUCAAUACCUUUACAAGUCAGGAAAGAGAUAACCACUCCCCCCUUUCUCCAUUUCUCUCUGUUCCUUCUUGGCUGUGCUGCAGAGCAGAUGUGCAGACGCCAUGUGCUAGCAUGGUGAACCAUGUAACUCUCUGUUGCUUCCUUUUCUUCCAUGGUGGAUGUGAUGUUGAACUUGCAGCAGUGAGCCAAUACUAGAUGUGAAGGCCUAACCGUGGGUGAGAUCAAGCGUGUGGGGAAGGGGUUACUAUAUAGAUAGAUAGAUUUAAAAAGGGUUGUUGCUCCGUGGGUCUGGGCUGUGUGUUUGUGAUACAUUUAUAGUAUUGUGUUGUUGCCUUUUAAUAAAUACCUUUUAAUGUAGAUGAACCUUGUGUAAUAUAUAUAUAUUAAUUUGGUGAUACACCACAAUAUGGACUCCACAGGACCUCUGAACAUGUCCUGUGGUAUCUGGCACCAAGACAUUAGCAGCAGAUCCUUUAAGUCCAGCAAGUUGUGAGGCAGGGCCUCCAUGGUUUGAAUUUGUUCAUCCAGCACAUCCCACAGAUGCUCAAUCGAAUAGAGAUUUGUGGAAUUUGAAGGCCAAUACCUUGGCCUCUAUGUCAUGUCCCUCAAACAAUUCCUGAAUCAAUAUUCACAGUGCAUUAUCCUGCUGAAAGAGGCCACAGCCAGCUGGGUACUCCUUUGCCAUGAAGGGCUGUACAGGUCUGUAUGAUCUCUAGGUAAGUGCUACAUGUCAAGGUAACUUCAUCAGGAAUGCCAGGACGAAAGGAUUCCCAACAAAAUAUUGGCCAAAGCAUGGCACUCUGACCAGUCUUUGGAUAUGCAGCAAACUGCAAUGCAAUGUAUGCUCUGAUAUCUUUCUAUCAUGACCAGCAAUUUAAGCAACUGUAGCUCUUUUGUGUUAUCAAAACAGACAGCCUAGCCUUUUUUACCUACAGUCAUCAUGAGCUUUGGGCACCCAUUGCCUUUCCUUGCACCACUUUUGAUAGGUAUUAACCACUGCAUAUCAGGAACACCCCACAAGACUCUGACACAGUCGUCUAACCAUCACUAUUUGGCACUUGUCAAAGUCACUUAGAUUUUUGUGCUUGCCCUUUUUUCCUGCUUCCAACACAUGAAAUUCAAGAACUGACUGACUGCUCCCUUGACAGGUGCCAUUGAGGUGACAUUAAAACAAUAUAAUAAUUGUUAAUUAACUUAAUUUGUCACUAGUUUUAAUGUUGUGGCUGAUCGGUGUACUUGUACAUUAGGAAAUGGGAAGGGAGAUAAAAAGCAAUGCUACAGGUGAUGAAUAAAAGCCCAAUAUAUUUUAUGUUUUGGCUGAUCAGUGUAUGUGUGUAUUAAUUUAUAAUAAGCACCCUUUAUUCGGAUUGUACUUUGUAUUUUGGAUUGUACUUGGAGAUAAUUAAUAUGGAAACUACACUCAAAUGAAUGGGAUCAUGAAAAUAUAAAAUGGGCAUCUUUCUAAAUUAGUUACGGAAAUAUAGUUAAAAAACAAAUGUUUAAGGGAUGUGUAUGGCAGCGCUACAUCUAUAUGUGAAACAGUAUUCAAGGCAGUUCUUUGUAAAUUAUGCAUUAAAAGUACUUCCUUUUUAUUUUAUUUUCAGCAAUACCCUUCAGCUAUACAUUUUCAAAAAAUUCCAUUAGUAAAAUAUUUAUAUUAAAAAAACAACUCAUCUAGAAAUUGCUAAAAUUAAUGUUUUUGUGACAUGUUCACUUUUUCAUUGGAACAUUAUGACCAGUAAUUUAAUGCUAGGAUAAUGAUAUUAUACUGCAUGCAUUGGUUAAACCUAUAAUUUCUUGUCAUUUUAUACAUGAAAAUCCUGCUUUGUGCAUUCUCUUAAAAUUGGAUAAUGCCAAUGAACAUUAAUCAGAAAUAAGCAGAGACCACCAUAACAGCAUGCAAUGUCAAACUGAUGAAUGGAAGGAUUUAAAAGUGUCAAAUUUCAGAAUCAAUUUACAACACAAUCUAAGCAGCUAAACUUGUAGGUAUUGUUAUUAAUAUUUCAAGAGAACAUUAAAUUGAAUAGGCCCUGUCUGAGAGUUUAUCAAAAAAUAUAAUCCUCUAUUAAGGAAACAAUGUGCGAGAAUCUUUACCUUGUUCAAAGAGAUGAGAAAAUAAAAAAAAUUCAAAUAUUAAUUUGUAAAAAAAAAAAUGUUUUAAAGUUGACCUGAUGUCAUUAUUCAAUGUUUUCUACAUAAUAAUAGUCAGCUGAUCUAUAUGGUAAUUAUGGUUUGGUGUUUGAUGAGUUUGCAACAAUUUCAUAAGUUCGAUAUCAUGACUAGUUUCUUUUAAAAUCUAAGAAUAAUAAAGCAAAACAUAAACAAUUAAAUAAUUUUACAAGGCUAGCUAGAGAAUCAAGUUAAAUUAGAUUAAUUUAUAUUAAAUGCUCUGCCCGUGGUACCAUUGAACACAUUUUACAUGAUAAAUAUACUUUUUUUUUUUAAAUAGUCAUAUAAAUUCAUAAUUUUUCCAGCAUUAUAAUUUUACCUUUUUUCUAACAGUAUAUGGCAUUCAAUAGAAACUAAUGAUGCAAUUAGUGGUAGGCAUUCACUGAAUCCCAUAUCUUCAUGGGUAGAAUUUGUCAAUGACCCCUUUCCCAGUCUGGCUACAUAGCAAUAAAGCAAUCAUUUAUCAGCACUUUGUAUAAUAUUAUAGUAGUUUAUUAAGUCAUCAAACCAUGAAAGGCACACUUUUGAAACUUCACAGUUUCUUUAUCAAGACAUUAAUGACUUGACAGCUUGAUAAAGACAUUGUAAAGUGUCAGAACAUUGCUUUGGAUGGUUUGGUGGCUCAAUAAACCAGAAUUUUAUAACAAGUAGAGCUGAUGAAUUAUUGAUUAUAUCAAAAACAAUCUAUAGAUUAGAUAGGUAGAUAGAUAGAUAGAUAAAUGUAAUACAACUUUGAAUUUAUGUACAGCAGUCUUUGUCUGUAGUGCAAAUAUCUGGAACAAUAAACGUAAAACAAUUUAUUUUACACUUUUUUUUGUAUUACUUAAUAUAGAAAAUGCAAAUUCAAAACUUUGUACCAUAAAUAAACAUUUCUCUAUCCAACUUGCAUGCCAAUCUGCAGUACAUCUUCACACCUUUUCUAAAUGACAAGUCAAAUAUGAAUACACUGUAAAUGGACACUAUAGUUAACCAGGCCACUUCAUCUCAUUGAAGAGGUCUGGGUGCAAUGUCCCUGUGAAAUUUAGCCCUGCAGCUGCAAACAUUGAGUCAAUGCUUUCCCAAAAGGAAGGCCUAAGAUGAGCAUGGCACCUGCCAUGCAUUGGUUCCCAUUUUGGCUGACGUUGUCAUCAUCAGAGACUGACCCAGCACCAAGGGAUCCAGAACUUAAGUCAGAUAAGUAUGAAAAUGUUUUUUAACCCUUUAUUUGCCACUGGGGGGUGCAUGAGGGAGGGUUGGAGAGGGACACUGUAGUGUUAGGAACACAGUUUUGUAUUCCUAACGCUAUAGUGUUGCUUUAGAUAAUGUGCAUACAUCUGUGACUCAUGCAGAAUGCAGAAUGCCUCUGUGAAUCACCCCGAAUGCUUAGUUUCAUUCUAUAAUAUACAUUUCCUUUCUUGUAAUAUUAACAUUUUCA
Non-coding RNA from Pelobates cultripes (western spadefoot toad), 4750 nucleotides. The record is from the annotation of a GenBank genome assembly. NCBI's taxonomy places the organism in Eukaryota, Metazoa, Chordata, Amphibia, Anura, Pelobatidae.